UACGUAGGGUGCGAGCGUUGUCCGGAAUUACUGGGCGUAAAGAGCUCGUAGGCGGUUUGUCGCGUCGGAUGUGAAAACCCAGGGCUCAACCCUGGGCCUGCAUUCGAUACGGGCAAACUAGAGUAUGGCAGGGGAGACUGGAAUUCCUGGUGUAGCGGUGAAAUGCGCAGAUAUCAGGAGGAACACCGGUGGCGAAGGCGGGUUUCUGGGCCAAAACUGACGCUGAGGAGCGAAAGCGUGGGGAGCGAACAGG
This 253-nucleotide ribosomal RNA is filed under the name uncultured bacterium. RNAcentral describes it as "partial 16S ribosomal RNA". It matches the Rfam family "Bacterial small subunit ribosomal RNA", at positions 524 to 776 of the family's 1533-position model. The record is from RNAcentral.